This 492-nucleotide ribosomal RNA is filed under the name uncultured bacterium. RNAcentral's name for it is "partial 16S ribosomal RNA". It matches the Rfam family "Bacterial small subunit ribosomal RNA", at positions 29 to 507 of the family's 1533-position model. The record is from RNAcentral.
AGUGAACGCUGGCGGUAGGCCUAACACAUGCAAGUCGAACGGCAGCACAGUAAGAGCUUGCUCUUACGGGUGGCGAGUGGCGGACGGGUGAGGAAUACAUCGGAAUCUACUUUUUCGUGGGGGAUAACGUAGGGAAACUUACGCUAAUACCGCAUACGACCUACGGGUGAAAGCAGGGGAUCUUCGGACCUUGCGCGAUUGAAUGAGCCGAUGUCGGAUUAGCUAGUUGGCGGGGUAAAGGCCCACCAAGGCGACGAUCCGUAGCUGGUCUGAGAGGAUGAUCAGCCACACUGGAAAUGAGACACGGUCCAGACUCCUACGGGAGGCAGCAGUGGGGAAUAUUGGACAAUGGGCGCAAGCCUGAUCCAGCCAUACCGCGUGGGUGAAGAAGGCCUUCGGGUUGUAAAGACCUUUUGUUGGGAAAGAAAAGCAGCAGGUUAAUACCCCGCUGUUCUGACGGUACCCAAAGAAUAAGCACCGGCUAACUUCGUG